CUCCUUCCACUCCAGGAAACCUUCUUUGGCAUCCAUGUGUUAGGUUGCUCCUCCAAAUAAGUUGGUUGAUGUAAAGCAGAAAGUGAACGCACUAAUCAUGAAAUCCAGAAGGAGCACAAUGAAGUUAAUGUCUAUCUUAACGGAUUUGAGCUCGGUUCUUCUGGGUUGGCUGAUUCCGCUGGAUCCUAAGCUUUAGGCAAUUUCCAUUUGGAAGAUUGAAGAGGUGUUUUUGGUGCUGAAAAACUUAGGAUUGAUGCAAUGUGGUUAUACUACUUUUCCAAAUGUUCCCGCUGAUUUAUGUGGCACCAUUGCUUAGUACUCGUUGAAAUACUAUUAUGU
Molecule: long non-coding RNA, 339 nt
Organism: Triticum dicoccoides
Lineage: Eukaryota; Viridiplantae; Streptophyta; Magnoliopsida; Poales; Poaceae
Exons: 3
Source: RefSeq, a predicted model, not a curated record